This 253-nucleotide ribosomal RNA is filed under the name uncultured bacterium. Its description in RNAcentral is "partial 16S ribosomal RNA". It matches the Rfam family "Bacterial small subunit ribosomal RNA", at positions 524 to 776 of the family's 1533-position model. The record is from RNAcentral.
UACAGAGACUGCAAGCGUUAUUCGGAUUCACUGGGCGUAAAGGGUGCGCAGGCGGCCAAGUGUGUCAGGCGUGAAAGCCUGGGGCUUAACUCCAGAAUUGCACCUCAAACUACAUGGCUAGAGCAUUGGAGAGGGUAGCAGAAUUCACGGUGUAGCAGUGAAAUGCGUAGAUAUCGUGAGGAAUACCAGAGGCGAAGGCGGCUACCUGGACAAUUGCUGACGCUCAGGCACGAAAGCGUGGGGAGCAAAAGGG